CCUCUUCUUUCUUCUUCUCCUCUCUCUUCUUUUUCUUCUUCUUCUUCUUCUUCUUCUCUUCUUGAUCAUCAUCAUCUUAUUCUUAUUCUUCUUCCUUUUUCUCCUCCUCCUCCUCCUCCUCUUCUUCUUCUUCUUUCUUUUCUCUUUCUCCUCCUCUCCUCUUUCUUCUUCUUCUUCUUCUUCUUUUUUCUUGCAGUUUUUUUUCUUCUCUUAUUUUCUUCUCAGUUUUUUCUUUUCUAUCUAUUUUUUUCUUUCCUAUCUACUUUUUUGUACCUAAUAAACUAACUAUCUAAUUUAACUGAAAAAAACAGAAAAA
RNAcentral lists this long non-coding RNA (316 nucleotides) under Hordeum vulgare. RNAcentral's name for it is "long non-coding RNA (HVUL_LNC009007)". Lineage: Eukaryota; Viridiplantae; Streptophyta; Magnoliopsida; Poales; Poaceae. The record is from RNAcentral.